Molecule: transfer RNA, 76 nt
Filed under: Aminobacterium colombiense
Lineage: Bacteria; Thermotogati; Synergistota; Synergistia; Synergistales; Aminobacteriaceae
Also listed under: 4 other names
Description: tRNA-Arg
Rfam family: tRNA
About the family: Transfer RNA (tRNA) molecules are approximately 80 nucleotides in length. Their secondary structure includes four short double-helical elements and three loops (D, anti-codon, and T loops). Further hydrogen bonds mediate the characteristic L-shaped molecular structure. tRNAs have two regions of fundamental functional importance: the anti-codon, which is responsible for specific mRNA codon recognition, and the 3' end, to which the tRNAs corresponding amino acid is attached (by aminoacyl-tRNA synthetases). tRNAs cope with the degeneracy of the genetic code in two manners: having more than one tRNA (with a specific anti-codon) for a particular amino acid; and 'wobble' base-pairing, i.e. permitting non-standard base-pairing at the 3rd anti-codon position.
Source: RNAcentral
GUGCCUGUAGCUCAGCGGAUAGAGCGUUGGCCUCCGGAGCCAAAGGUCUGGGGUUCGAAUCCCCGCAGGCACGCCA